AGAGUUUGAUCCUGGCUCAGAAUCAACGCUGGCGGCGUGCCUAACACAUGCAAGUCGAACGAGAAAGUGGAGCAAUCCAUGAGUAGAGUGGCGUACGGGUGAGUAACACGUGACUAACCUUCCUUCGAGUGGGGAAUAACCUCGGGAAACCAGGGCUAAUACCGCAUAACAUCACCGGGUGAAACUCCCGAUGAUCAAAGGGGUAAGACGCUUGAAGAGGGGGUCGCGGCUGAUUAGUUAGUUGGCGGGGUAAUGGCCCACCAAGACGAUGAUCAGUAGCCGGCCUGAGAGGGCGCACGGCCACACUGGAACUGAAACACGGUCCAGACUCCUACGGGAGGCAGCAGUGGGGAAUUUUGCGCAAUGGGGGAAACCCUGACGCAGCAACGCCGCGUGGAGGAUUAAGUCCCUUGGGAUGUAAACUCCUUUCGACGGGGAAGAAACUGACGGACCCGAGAA
Molecule: ribosomal RNA, 459 nt
Filed under: uncultured Acidobacteriota bacterium
Lineage: Bacteria; Pseudomonadati; Acidobacteriota
Description: bacterial SSU rRNA
Rfam family: Bacterial small subunit ribosomal RNA
Source: RNAcentral